GCCGCCCUAGCUCAGUCGGUAGAGCAAUUCACUCGUAAUGAAUAGGUCAGGGGUUCGAUUCCCCUGGGCGGCUCCA
RNAcentral lists this transfer RNA (76 nucleotides) under Clostridioides difficile. RNAcentral's name for it is "tRNA-Thr(cgt)". It matches the Rfam family "tRNA". From Rfam's summary of the family: Transfer RNA (tRNA) molecules are approximately 80 nucleotides in length. Their secondary structure includes four short double-helical elements and three loops (D, anti-codon, and T loops). Further hydrogen bonds mediate the characteristic L-shaped molecular structure. tRNAs have two regions of fundamental functional importance: the anti-codon, which is responsible for specific mRNA codon recognition, and the 3' end, to which the tRNAs corresponding amino acid is attached (by aminoacyl-tRNA synthetases). tRNAs cope with the degeneracy of the genetic code in two manners: having more than one tRNA (with a specific anti-codon) for a particular amino acid; and 'wobble' base-pairing, i.e. permitting non-standard base-pairing at the 3rd anti-codon position. Lineage: Bacteria; Bacillati; Bacillota; Clostridia; Peptostreptococcales; Peptostreptococcaceae. The record is from RNAcentral. RNAcentral also lists the same sequence under 88 other names.